ACGGCUCAGUAACAUGUAGUCAAUCUGCCCUCAGGACGGGAAUACCCACGGGAAACUGUGGCGAACUCCAGAUAAUCCAUCUAUGCUGGAAUGCUUGAUGGGUAAAAGCGACGGUGAAAUGGAGCCGUUUGGCCUGAGGAUGAGACUGCACCUGAUUAGGUAGUUGGUGAGGUAACGGCUCACCAAGCCGAUAAUCAGUAGGGGCAAUGGGAGUUGGAGCCCCGAGAAGGGCACUGAGACAAGGGCCCUAGUCCUACGGGAUGCAGCAGGCGCGAAACCUUUGCCAUGCGCGAAAGCGUGACAGGGGAACUCCGAGUGGUAGGAUGGUUUUACCUUCCUAUCUUUUGGCCAAUCCAAACAAUUGGCAGAAUAAGAUCUGGGUAAGACCAGUGCCAGCCGCCAUGUGUGUGUAUUUCGCACCCACAUAGCACGGUACGCGGUAAUACUGGCAGAGCGAGUGGUAUCCACGAAUAUUGGGUCUAAAGAGUCCGUAGCUGGUCUAUUAAGUCCACUGUGAAAUCCGGCGGCUCAACCGCCGGGCGUGCAGUGGAUACUGAUAGGCUUGGGAGCGGGGGAGGCCGGGAGUACUUGCGGGGUAAGAGUAAAAUCUGUUGAUCCUGCAAGGACUACCAGUGGCGAAGGCGCCCGGCCAAAACGCGUCCGACAGUGAGGGACGAAGGCUAGGAGAACGAAUCGGAUUAGAUACCCGAGUAGCCCUAGCAGUAAAUUAUGCAGACUGUGGUGUUGCGCCGACUUCGAGUCGGCGCAGUGCUGUAGCGUAGUGUUAAGUCUGCCACCUGGGGAGUACGGCCGCAAGGUUGAAACUUAAA
RNAcentral lists this ribosomal RNA (830 nucleotides) under uncultured archaeon. RNAcentral's name for it is "bacterial SSU rRNA". It matches the Rfam family "Archaeal small subunit ribosomal RNA", at positions 85 to 860 of the family's 1478-position model. The record is from RNAcentral.